This 72-nucleotide transfer RNA is filed under the name Trichonephila inaurata madagascariensis. It matches the Rfam family "tRNA". Rfam says of the family: Transfer RNA (tRNA) molecules are approximately 80 nucleotides in length. Their secondary structure includes four short double-helical elements and three loops (D, anti-codon, and T loops). Further hydrogen bonds mediate the characteristic L-shaped molecular structure. tRNAs have two regions of fundamental functional importance: the anti-codon, which is responsible for specific mRNA codon recognition, and the 3' end, to which the tRNAs corresponding amino acid is attached (by aminoacyl-tRNA synthetases). tRNAs cope with the degeneracy of the genetic code in two manners: having more than one tRNA (with a specific anti-codon) for a particular amino acid; and 'wobble' base-pairing, i.e. permitting non-standard base-pairing at the 3rd anti-codon position. The record is from Rfam by way of RNAcentral. Lineage: Eukaryota; Metazoa; Arthropoda; Arachnida; Araneae; Nephilidae.
GGUUCCGUAGUGUAGUGGUUAUCACGUUCGCUUCACCCCAGAAAGGUCUCGGUUCGAUCCCGGACGGAACCA